This 445-nucleotide ribosomal RNA is filed under the name uncultured bacterium. RNAcentral describes it as "partial 16S ribosomal RNA". It matches the Rfam family "Bacterial small subunit ribosomal RNA", at positions 338 to 795 of the family's 1533-position model. The record is from RNAcentral.
CCUACGGGUGGCAGCAGUGGGGAAUAUUGCGCAAUGGGCGAAAGCCUGACGCAGCGACGCCGCGUGAGGGAUGAAGGUCUUCGGAUUGUAAACCUCUGUCAUGUGGGAGCAAAUUUAAAAGACAUUACCACAAGUGUACGUGCCGUCUAACUCUGUGCCAGCCGCCGCGGUAAUAAAGAGGUCUAUAGCGUUGUUCGGCUUCACUGGGCGUAAAGCGUGCGGAGGCGGUUUCGUAAGUGGUGUGUGAAAGGCGCGGGCUCAACCCGCGGACGGCAGAUGAUACUGCGAGACUAGAGUAAAGGAGAGGGAAGCGGAAUGCUCGGUGUAGCAGUGAAAUGCGUAGAUAUCGAGAGGAACACUCGUGGCGAAGGCGGGUUACUGGACAGUAACUGACGCUGAGGCACGAAGGCGAGGGGAGCGAAAGGGAUUAGAUACCCGGGUAGUC